Non-coding RNA from Dallia pectoralis (Alaska blackfish), 73 nucleotides. The record is from the annotation of a GenBank genome assembly. NCBI's taxonomy places the organism in Eukaryota, Metazoa, Chordata, Actinopteri, Esociformes, Umbridae.
GGAGUGGGUAGCUCAGUUGUACAGUGCAUGCUUUGUAUGUAUGAUGUCCUGGGUUCAAUUCCGAGCUUCUCCC